Molecule: non-coding RNA, 73 nt
Organism: Gymnothorax javanicus (giant moray)
Lineage: Eukaryota; Metazoa; Chordata; Actinopteri; Anguilliformes; Muraenidae
Source: the annotation of a GenBank genome assembly
GCCCCGGUGGCUCAUCGGUCUAAGUGCGCGUACCAUAAAGGCUGUGUCCUGGGUUCGAAUCCGACUCGGGUCA